AAGCGAUGAUGAGGGUAUUGUUCCUGACUUGGUAUUGCCACUACAUAGUGACUUUGACCAAGGUCUGAUUGGAUAUUUAAUCUUCUCUCUGAGCUG
Astyanax mexicanus (Mexican tetra) is the source of this 96-nucleotide small nucleolar RNA. The record is from Ensembl. NCBI's taxonomy places the organism in Eukaryota, Metazoa, Chordata, Actinopteri, Characiformes, Acestrorhamphidae.